Non-coding RNA from Rattus norvegicus (Norway rat), 220 nucleotides. The record is from RefSeq and is a predicted model, not a curated record. NCBI's taxonomy places the organism in Eukaryota, Metazoa, Chordata, Mammalia, Rodentia, Muridae.
CAUUUAUGCUUUUGCAGCACUAGCCACAACAGCCAAGGUCUGGAAUUAGCCUGGUCAUCCAGUAUUCAGUUGUAAUAGAAGAGAGGUUCUGAGCAAGGGAGCAGGCUGCUGUGGAGACAAGGUAGCAGGCGGCGUGAAGCCUGAGGAUUGAGACAACUGUACUGUCUACAGUCUGCCCCACAUGUGGCCCCUACAUAUACAGCCACCGAAGUAGAUAAAA